Molecule: ribosomal RNA, 433 nt
Filed under: uncultured bacterium
Lineage: Bacteria
Description: partial 16S ribosomal RNA
Rfam family: Bacterial small subunit ribosomal RNA
Source: RNAcentral
AGCGAACGCUGGCGGCAGGCCUAACACAUGCAAGUCGAACGAACUCUUCGGAGUUAGUGGCGGACGGGUGAGUAACACGUGGGAACGUGCCUUUUGGUUCGGAAUAACUCAGGGAAACUUGUGCUAAUACCGAAUGUGCCCUUCGGGGGAAAGAUUUAUCGCCAUUAGAGCGGCCCGCGUCUGAUUAGCUAGUUGGUGAGGUAACGGCUCACCAAGGCGACGAUCAGUAGCUGGUCUGAGAGGAUGACCAGCCACACUGGGACUUAGACACGGCCCAGACUCCUACGGGAGGCAGCAGUGGGGAAUCUUGCGCAAUGGGCGAAAGCCUGACGCAGCCAUGCCGCGUGAAUGAUGAAGGUCUUAGGAUUGUAAAAUUCUUUCACCGGGGACGAUAAUGACGGUACCCGGAGAAGAAGCCCCGGCUAACUUCGUG